UUAACUAUUAUAUAGUACUCAGACGACACUAACAUUCAGAGUUUUGGGUCCUCUGGCGGGCGCUUACCAGCGUGAGCCGGUAGCCUGACCGGGGCCGGGCGGCCCGCCAAAGCAACAAAGGUAGCAAUAACACAGGGUGGGAGAUCUACCCGUGAGGGCACGAACUCUGUAAUGAUCCCUCCGCAGGUUCACCUACGGAGA
RNAcentral lists this unclassified non-coding RNA (201 nucleotides) under uncultured fungus. Its description in RNAcentral is "sequence contains ITS1, 5.8S rRNA gene". The record is from RNAcentral. Lineage: Eukaryota; Fungi.